Molecule: long non-coding RNA, 140 nt
Organism: Haliotis rubra (blacklip abalone)
Lineage: Eukaryota; Metazoa; Mollusca; Gastropoda; Lepetellida; Haliotidae
Exons: 4
Source: RefSeq, a predicted model, not a curated record
CUUUAUUUAUUUUCAGAUUUCCUCCCACACCGCUAUUCAGAGCUGGUGAUGAAAACGGGGAAAUAUGAAAGGAACGCUUGAAUUUUCACGUGUUCCUUUAUUUGUUUCUCUCAGUAUAUCUGCUUUGAAACUAUACAAAA